GAUGAACGCUGGCGGCGUGCCUAAUACAUGCAAGUCGAGCGAACAGACGAGGAGCUUGCUCCUCUGACGUUAGCGGCGGACGGGUGAGUAACACGUGGAUAACCUACCUAUAAGACUGGGAUAACUUCGGGAAACCGGAGCUAAUACCGGAUAAUAUAUUGAACCGCAUGGUUCAAUAGUGAAAGACGGUUUUGCUGUCACUUAUAGAUGGAUCCGCGCCGCAUUAGCUAGUUGGUAAGGUAACGGCUUACCAAGGCGACGAUGCGUAGCCGACCUGAGAGGGUGAUCGGACACACUGGAACUGAGACACGGUACAGACUCCGACGGGAGGCAGCAGUAGGGAAUCUUCCGCAAUGGGCGAAAGCCUGACGGAGCAACGCCGCGUGAGUGAUGAAGGUCUUAGGAUCGUAAAACUCUGUUAUUAGGGAAGAACAAAUGUGUAAGUAACUAUGCACGUCUUGACGGUACCCAAUCAGAAAGCCACGGCUAACUACGUG
This 497-nucleotide ribosomal RNA is filed under the name uncultured bacterium. RNAcentral describes it as "partial 16S ribosomal RNA". It matches the Rfam family "Bacterial small subunit ribosomal RNA", at positions 28 to 507 of the family's 1533-position model. The record is from RNAcentral.